Paramisgurnus dabryanus is the source of this 485-nucleotide long non-coding RNA. RefSeq lists it as uncharacterized. The record is from RefSeq and is a predicted model, not a curated record. NCBI's taxonomy places the organism in Eukaryota, Metazoa, Chordata, Actinopteri, Cypriniformes, Cobitidae.
GUGUGAUGUAAUCUUUGAAAGUUUAUGACCGAACCUUUAUUGGGGAGCGACAAGAGAUCUCCGGCAUCAGUUUGGAUGGAGCAGUGCUGUUAUACUCAAGUCUAUUGCGAAAUUGUCUAAACUGGUAUUAACUAUUCCUGGUAAAUCGCGGACAAGAGUGGCCUGAACAAAAAAGUCAGCCCGAGACUAGAACCUCCCGCAGCGUAACAAGGAAAUCUUGGAGCAAAGAGACGCCGAGUGGCUCGUGUUGUGCGGUUUGGAUAUCUGCUGCAAAGCGAACGUUGUGUGUACUAUUGCAAAAUAGCGGAUCUCCCCGGUUAGGAUACAGACCACAACGCUUUGGACGUAUCUUUAAAAAAGAGAAAAAUCAGAGACUUUUUGGAUUUGUCUGGGGACAUUUUAAACAUUUUGUGUCAAAUUGGAUUUAAAACAUUUCGGAUACUGGAUACCUAGUUUGAUUUGUCCACAGAUCUUGUUUAAGACGU